Molecule: ribosomal RNA, 217 nt
Filed under: Vibrio parahaemolyticus
Lineage: Bacteria; Pseudomonadati; Pseudomonadota; Gammaproteobacteria; Vibrionales; Vibrionaceae
Description: partial 16S ribosomal RNA
Rfam family: Bacterial small subunit ribosomal RNA
Source: RNAcentral
AAAUUGAAGAGUUUGAUCAUGGCUCAGAUUGAACGCUGGCGGCAGGCCUAACACAUGCAAGUCGAGCGGAAACGAGUUAUCAGAACCUUCGGGGGACGAUAACGGCGUCGAGCGGCGGACGGGUGAGUAAUGCCUAGGAAAUUGCCCUGAUGUGGGGGAUAACCAUUGGAAACGAUGGCUAAUACCGCAUGAUGCCUACGGGCCAAAGAGGGGGACC